Molecule: non-coding RNA, 115 nt
Organism: Triticum urartu
Lineage: Eukaryota; Viridiplantae; Streptophyta; Magnoliopsida; Poales; Poaceae
Source: Rfam
UCAGACUCCAGGGGGAGCCCGGCAACGGGCUGAGAAAUCGCAAGCGCAAGCGGCGCGAUGACCCUUAACACCUGAUCCGGAUAAUGCCGGCGAAGGGAUGGGGCAAUUUACCUGA